UGGGGAAUAUUGCACAAUGGGGGAAACCCUGAUGCAGCGACGCCGCGUGAGCGAAGAAGUAUUUCGGUAUGUAAAGCUCUAUCAGCAGGGAAGAAAAUGACGGUACCUGACUAAGAAGCUCCGGCUAAAUACGUGCCAGCAGCCGCGGUAAUACGUAUGGAGCAAGCGUUAUCCGGAUUUACUGGGUGUAAAGGGAGCGCAGGCGGCUUUGCAAGUCUGAUGUGAAAGGCCGGGGCUCAACCCCGGGACUGCAUUGGAAACUGUAAAGCUAGAGUGCCGGAGAGGUAAGCGGAAUUCCUAGUG
This 303-nucleotide ribosomal RNA is filed under the name uncultured bacterium. Its description in RNAcentral is "bacterial SSU rRNA". It matches the Rfam family "Bacterial small subunit ribosomal RNA", at positions 355 to 675 of the family's 1533-position model. The record is from RNAcentral.